AUUUGGUUCAGAUUGAAGUAUCUAAAAGAGCUAGGGGUAGGCCUAAAAUGACCCUAGGAGAAGUGAGGAAAAACAUACAUAGCUUAGGACUAGCAACAAGUAUGUCUUUGAAUAGAGCUGACUGAAGAAAGAUCCAUGUAGCUGACCCCAUUUCAUUGGGAUAAGGCUGAGUUGAGUU
Long non-coding RNA from Telopea speciosissima, 178 nucleotides. RefSeq lists it as uncharacterized. The transcript has 2 exons. The record is from RefSeq and is a predicted model, not a curated record. NCBI's taxonomy places the organism in Eukaryota, Viridiplantae, Streptophyta, Magnoliopsida, Proteales, Proteaceae.